GUGGGGAAUAUUGCACAAUGGGGGGAACCCUGAUGCAGCGACGCCGCGUGGGUGAAGGAGUCAUUCGUGACGUAAAGCCCUAUCGGCAGGGAAGAAAGGCGGGCAACACCCGCCAUGACGGUACCUGACUAAGAAGCCCCGGCUAACUACGUGCCAGCAGCCGCGGUAAUACGUAGGGGGCAAGCGUUAUCCGGAUUCACUGGGUGUAAAGGGAGCGUAGACGGCCAGGCAAGCCAGGGGUGAAAGCCCGGGGCCCAACCCCGGGACUGCCCUUGGAACUGCGUGGCUAGAGUGCGGGAGGGGCAGGCGGAAUUCCUGGUGUAGCGGUGAAAUGCGUAGAUAUCAGGAGGAACACCGGCGGCGAAGGCGGCCUGCUGGACCGCGACUGACGUUGAGGCUCGAAAGCGUGGGGAGCGAACAGGA
This 423-nucleotide ribosomal RNA is filed under the name uncultured bacterium. RNAcentral describes it as "bacterial SSU rRNA". It matches the Rfam family "Bacterial small subunit ribosomal RNA", at positions 354 to 777 of the family's 1533-position model. The record is from RNAcentral.